AAAUUGAAGAGUUUGAUCAUGGCUCAGAUUGAACGCUGGCGGCAGGCCUAACACAUGCAAGUCGAGCGGUAGCACAGAGAGCUUGCUCUCGGGUGACGAGCGGCGGACGGGUGAGUAAUGUCUGGGAAACUGCCUGAUGGAGGGGGAUAACUACUGGAAACGGUAGCUAAUACCGCAUAACGUCGCAAGACCAAAGUGGGGGACCUUCGGGCCUCAUGCCAUCAGAUGUGCCCAGAUGGGAUUAGCUAGUAGGUGGGGUAACGGCUCACCUAGGCGACGAUCCCUAGCUGGUCUGAGAGGAUGACCAGCCACACUGGAACUGAGACACGGUCCAGACUCCUACGGGAGGCAGCAGUGGGGAAUAUUGCACAAUGGGCGCAAGCCUGAUGCAGCCAUGCCGCGUGUGUGAAGAAGGCCUUCGGGUUGUAAAG
This 431-nucleotide ribosomal RNA is filed under the name Klebsiella pneumoniae. RNAcentral describes it as "bacterial SSU rRNA". It matches the Rfam family "Bacterial small subunit ribosomal RNA", at positions 1 to 430 of the family's 1533-position model. The record is from RNAcentral. Lineage: Bacteria; Pseudomonadati; Pseudomonadota; Gammaproteobacteria; Enterobacterales; Enterobacteriaceae.